Molecule: long non-coding RNA, 529 nt
Organism: Saccostrea cuccullata (small rock oyster)
Lineage: Eukaryota; Metazoa; Mollusca; Bivalvia; Ostreida; Ostreidae
Exons: 3
Source: RefSeq, a predicted model, not a curated record
UGGAAAGCCUGUGGCAGUGGCGUUAUUGGUAGGGAAAGUAGUCCCGGAGAAUCGACACUGUAUGGAGUUUGAUUCUGCAUCCCCUAGUGACGGAAAAUGUGCUUUGAUACCUCAGUAGAUGGUGUUUGUGUUUAUUAAAUGAAAAGGAGUGAAUUAAACAGUAUGGGAUCAUAAAUGGAGAAGCUUACAGAAGAAGAAGAUAAGCCUUUCAAGUGAAGGAGAGUAAGGAAAGUGGUUGGGUAUUUUAAGAAGUGAAGAACCAUGUCCUGUGUGUGGAAUUGAAGAUAUUGAUCAACUAUUCCCACAAGAAGAAGCAUUUCCUUACAAUGUACCAUGGAUGUGAGGCAAUAUAAAUCCAAAGGACAAGCAACUUUCCUGCACAUUCAGUCUACAUUGUUUGCUCACAACAGGACUCAAACCAAUUAACAUUCUAAGGAAAAACUCUGCUAGGGAAAUUAAACUUAGGUGUCACAUCCAAUACUCUUAUUACUCAAUUCUAGUUAAUGUACUGAAAUGGUUUAUUUGAAUA